GCAUGGCCGAAUUCUGUGUAACUCUGUCAGUAGUAAAUGCAGUCAGACGCCACGCAAAAGCAUCCAUUCACUACAACU
Small nucleolar RNA from Coregonus clupeaformis (lake whitefish), 78 nucleotides. RefSeq annotates it as small nucleolar RNA SNORA15. The transcript has a single exon. NCBI's taxonomy places the organism in Eukaryota, Metazoa, Chordata, Actinopteri, Salmoniformes, Salmonidae. The record is from RefSeq and is a predicted model, not a curated record.